This 451-nucleotide long non-coding RNA is filed under the name Anneissia japonica. RNAcentral's name for it is "uncharacterized LOC117117122, transcript variant X1". Lineage: Eukaryota; Metazoa; Echinodermata; Crinoidea; Comatulida; Comatulidae. The record is from RNAcentral.
UCGAUCGGAAAAGGACAGUGAGCAAGCCAAGAGCAGGCGGAUACAUCGCCACAAUCUAGGCCAAAAAGUAGCUGGAGUUGGCUGGUAAGUCUGUUCCGGAGUAUUGUAUUAUUACAGUCUUGUGGAUGUUACGUUAUCACUAGCUGCAAUUUUCAGUAUGGCAUUUUCUGAUGGUGUUUCUCUGUCUUUCAAACAAUACCAAGCACAAGUCUGCAAAAUAUUGGACGAGGACUUGUCACGCUACAAAAGCAACACAUGUGAGAAUUCAUCAUUCAAAUUACGUAUGUACAAUAAAGUGAAAGGAGCAGCAGAGUAUUCAGUAUGUAGUAGUUUUUGCAGCUAAAAUACUGUAUGAAUGCAUCACCUUGCUCUGCUUCUAGACGCAGGGUUCCCGGAACGCCGCCCUCAGCGGCGAGUGAGAAGCACAACUCAGGGUCAGAAGUGGAACGUG